This 78-nucleotide microRNA precursor is filed under the name Choloepus hoffmanni (Hoffmann's two-fingered sloth). RNAcentral describes it as "miRNA (ENSCHOG00000014836.1)". Lineage: Eukaryota; Metazoa; Chordata; Mammalia; Pilosa; Megalonychidae. The record is from RNAcentral.
GUGUGUGUGUGUGUGUGUGUGUGUGUGUGUGUGUACGUGCCAAAUGUGCACGCCCGCCAUCCCCAUGCUGCCCACAAG